RNAcentral lists this ribosomal RNA (253 nucleotides) under uncultured bacterium. Its description in RNAcentral is "partial 16S ribosomal RNA". It matches the Rfam family "Bacterial small subunit ribosomal RNA", at positions 524 to 776 of the family's 1533-position model. The record is from RNAcentral.
UACGAAGGGGGCUAGCGUUGCUCGGAAUCACUGGGCGUAAAGGGUGCGUAGGCGGGUCUUUAAGUCAGGGGUGAAAUCCUGGAGCUCAACUCCAGAACUGCCUUUGAUACUGAAGAUCUUGAGUUCGGGAGAGGUGAGUGGAACUGCGAGUGUAGAGGUGAAAUUCGUAGAUAAUCGCAAGAACACCAGUGGCGAAGGCGGCUCACUGGCCCGAUACUGACGCUGAGGCACGAAAGCGUGGGGAGCAAACAGG